UACGUAGGGGGCAAGCGUUGUCCGGAUUUAUUGGGCGUAAAGAGCGUGUAGGCGGCCAGGUAGGUCCGUUGUGAAAACUCCGGGCUCAACCCGGAGACGCCACCCGAUACUGUCGUGACUGGAGUCCGGUAGGGGAGUGGGGAAUUCCUGGUGUAGCGGUGAAAUGCGCAGAUAUCAGGAGGAACACCGGUGGCGAAGGCGCCACUCUGGGCCGGUACUGACGCUGAGGAGCGAAAGCGUGGGUAGCAAACAGG
RNAcentral lists this ribosomal RNA (254 nucleotides) under uncultured bacterium. Its description in RNAcentral is "partial 16S ribosomal RNA". It matches the Rfam family "Bacterial small subunit ribosomal RNA", at positions 524 to 776 of the family's 1533-position model. The record is from RNAcentral.